AAGCUGACUGUGUCGCAGGACACAACCCCAGAUACCCUUUGUGAACUUAUUCUUAUAUCGUUGCCUCGGCGCUGAGCUGGGGGCUUCUUUCCAAGGAGCUCUCCCAUGGUCUCUCGGGACGAUGGAGCAAGCCCGCCGGCGGCCCUUCUAAACUCUUGUUUUUAUUACGUAUCUCUUCUGAGUUAUUCAAAACAAAAUGAAUCAAAACUUUCAACAACGGAUCUCUUGGUUCUGGCAUCGAUGAAGAACGCAGCGAAAUGCGAUAAGUAAUGUGAAUUGCAGAAUUCAGUGAAUCAUCGAAUCUUUGAACGCACAUUGCGCCCGCUGGAAUUCCAGCGGGCAUGCCUGUUCGAGCGUCAUUUCACCCCUCAAGCCUUGCUUGGUGUUGGAGCACUACCGUUUGUAUAAAGCGGUAGGCUCUGAAAUUCAGUGGCGGGCUCGCUAAGACUCUGAGCGUAGUAGUUUAUCACCUCGCUUUGGAAGGAUUAGCGGUGCUCUUGCCGUAAAACCCCCCAACUUCUGAAUUUUGACCUCGGAUCAGGUAGGAAUACCCGCUGAACUUAAGCAUAUCAAAAGCCGGGAGGAA
This 586-nucleotide ribosomal RNA is filed under the name Coniella sp. FR23. Its description in RNAcentral is "eukaryotic LSU rRNA". The stretch from base 206 to 359 matches the Rfam family "5.8S ribosomal RNA". Lineage: Eukaryota; Fungi; Ascomycota; Sordariomycetes; Diaporthales; Schizoparmaceae. The record is from RNAcentral.